AAUGGAGCGGCCAAUGCAAACACGGCAUGCAGUACGUGCGAUGCGUAUGGCGUAUCGAACCAGAGCCUGGAAAUCAAGUUGUAUGAGUCACACACCACACGGAGUCGAAGUAGGAGACGACUGACAAGGAAGAUGCGCUAUGAUCGAUCUCCGGCUUAAACCAUCCAUCCGAUCGACCAUGCAUUAAGUUAUUCUUUCCUUCACGGCGAAGGAAAAUGCGAGCGGGUGGUGGCUCAGCCGGUCCGCCCGGGCGCUUUCCCUACGUACCUCCAACGCCGACGCGGUUCUUCCGACGACCGAAGUCUUCGUUCGCGUUACAGGUAGGUGAGAUGGAGCCUGCAGUGUGGCUGUGGUGCUGGUGCUGGUGGAGGCGCGGUGUUGCCGACUCGCGACGGGAUAGAGUUGUCAAGCCGCGUGGCUUCUUUUUCUCUGCGACUUCCGGGAAACUCUACAGCGAGACGGCGGAGCGGGGAAUAAUGCCAUGUCACUGAUAACGCGUUCGCCGCGCGGCAGCCUCGAAGGUUCUUAGCACCAUAUCCGCAGUGGUGCGAAUGCCAUGGAGCAUCUGGCGAAAGUCGCAGCGCUGCGGUGUUUUGGCGAGGAACGGCUCGGCGUGAGAUUUGAACAGGAGCGCGGCCACUGCAGGCGCAGCCAAUGACCGCGUCUGAAAUCCUAGACCCACAAUUCGCAAAGGCAUGUGAGAUGGAGCCUGCAGUGUGGCUGUGGUGCUGGUGCUGGUGCUGGUGGAGGCGGGGUGUCGCCGACUCGCGACGGGAUAGAGUUGUCGAGCCGCGUGGCUUCUUUUUCUCUGCGACUUCCGGGAAACUCUACAGCGCGCGAGACGGCGGAGCGGGGAAUGACAUGUCACUGAUAACGCGUUCGCCGCGCGGCAGCCUCGAAGGUUCUCAGCACCAUAUCCGCAGUGGUGCGAAUGCCAUGGAGCAUCUGGCGAAAGUUGCAGCGCUGCGGUGUUUUGGCGAGGAACGGCUCGGCGUGAGAUUUGAACGGGAGCACGGCCACUGCACGUCUGAAAUCCUAGUCCCACAAUUCGCAAAGGCAUGUUCACUGUCUACGAGCUUUGUUUAGAUAUCGUAUUUGAUUUGUUGAGAUUGUAUAUUUGAAUUGUUGCGUUUUAGAGAAACAUAUAAGAAAAAAAUAAAACAUGUACUAGUGGGUCUUAUUUUGGUGUAACCUGUGUGGAUUGGCUGAAACAGCAGACCAUAUUAUGUUUCA
Molecule: long non-coding RNA, 1233 nt
Organism: Phragmites australis (common reed)
Lineage: Eukaryota; Viridiplantae; Streptophyta; Magnoliopsida; Poales; Poaceae
Exons: 2
Source: RefSeq, a predicted model, not a curated record